RNAcentral lists this long non-coding RNA (1364 nucleotides) under Homo sapiens (human). RNAcentral's name for it is "long intergenic non-protein coding RNA 1227". The record is from RNAcentral. Lineage: Eukaryota; Metazoa; Chordata; Mammalia; Primates; Hominidae.
AGUCUAGUCUGUGACCUGAGCCAUCAUGGUAGGGUGUCCAGGGUGAGGGGAGGGUGGUGUGAAUCCCCAGUAAUGCAGGUCCUUUCCAGGCCAGGCCCCUGGUCCCCAGGAGUGCGGGGAUGCCUGAGGUCUACUGCUGCCUUAUCCAGAGCUGCCAUCCCCGGCGAUGACUCAGAGUUCCUGUGGCCCCAGCAUCAUCCCUCCAUCCCUGGCUGUGAGGCAGGAGCAGAGUUGCAGACCUGAGAGGCCUUGAAUUUGUUUGAUAUAGGACUUUGCCACCAGACAAAGUGCUUUGCCUGUGAGGUCUGGCUUGGCCUGGCCUCUGAGAAAGAACAAACACAGACCUCACUGGAAGGAACCUGGAGAACGGGAGAGGAGAGGCUGCUGCUGUCUGCCCUCCCAGCAGCAGAUAUAAAGACAAUGGGCUUCUAAGUCCCCUAGAGUCCCAGCUGUGUAAUUUAAGGCGAGUUCAUCUCUCACAGCCUCAGUUUCCUCAUUUGCUGGCACCUGUCUUUCUCCUUCAUAGCCAUUGUCACUGUUGCAAUGAUAUCAACAAUGCUUACAUUUCAGAUAGAUCCCCAGCUGGGUUGAAAGGAACGUCAAGACCCUUCCUUUCUUAUGACCUAUGUAUCAACUCCCUUCUACCUUGCCUCCCUCCACUUGGAGCGAGUUCUAGUUGGUGAAAUGUAGCCAGAGGUUCCUGGAAAGGCUUUCCUUCUCAAGUAAAGCCUGGCUCAGAGAAAACCACUGGUCUCUUUCCUUUUCUUCCUCCUGACAUGAACAUGGGGCAGGAAGGAGCAUGGAGAAGACAAGAACAAGGCUCUCAGAAGGAAAUGGUGUGGCUGGAGCCAUGAGAACUGGUUGUGGAGGGGGCAAAUAUAAUUUCUGACCUACGUAAUGAUGUAUGCACAAGAAGCCUCUCUUGAAUGUAUUAAUUCAGUAAACAGUUAUGGAGUCCUUACAAUGUGCUAGUGGGACUUUGAAGAUGAAUCCAAAUUUGGAUCCUGGCCUGGAAAGGCUCAAAGCCCAAUAUGGGAGUGAUUCUGAGCAGAAACAAAGGGGAACGUAUGUCUUCAUUGUGACUCAGCGAGCAAAGAGAUGGAGUCUUUUCCAAGAAGAAAGUGGGAGAUUUGGGACCACUGACAUAUUUGGCCCACUGAUUCCAUUCCCCUAGACCAACACGUGUUCAUCAAAUUGCAUCACUCUUAUGGGGAACUUAAUGCAACUCCGGUGCCCAUUGCAUUAGUUUUUGAUGAUGGAAUUCUCUUUGUGAACUUGAACUUGAGGGGUCUGGCUACCCCUCUGAGACUUCUUUUUUGAGAUAAAAUCAUAUAACAUAAAAUUCGCCCUUUUAAUGUGUACAA